This 534-nucleotide ribosomal RNA is filed under the name uncultured Hydrogenophaga sp. RNAcentral describes it as "bacterial SSU rRNA". It matches the Rfam family "Bacterial small subunit ribosomal RNA", at positions 343 to 871 of the family's 1533-position model. Lineage: Bacteria; Pseudomonadati; Pseudomonadota; Betaproteobacteria; Burkholderiales; Comamonadaceae. The record is from RNAcentral.
GGGAGGCAGCAGUGGGGAAUUUUGGACAAUGGGCGCAAGCCUGAUCCAGCAAUGCCGCGUGCAGGAAGAAGGCCUUCGGGUUGUAAACUGCUUUUGUACGGAACGAAAAGGUUNUGGUUAAUACCUGGGGCACAUGACGGUACCGUAAGAAUAAGCACCGGCUAACUACGUGCCAGCAGCCGCGGUAAUACGUAGGGUGCAAGCGUUAAUCGGAAUUACUGGGCGUAAAGCGUGCGCAGGCGGUUUUGUAAGACAGGCGUGAAAUCCCCGGGCUUAACCUGGGAAUUGCGUUUGUGACUGCAAGGCUGGAGUGCGGCAGAGGGGGAUGGAAUUCCGCGUGUAGCAGUGAAAUGCGUAGAUAUGCGGAGGAACACCGAUGGCGAAGGCAAUCCCCUGGGCCUGCACUGACGCUCAUGCACGAAAGCGUGGGGAGCAAACAGGAUUAGAUACCCUGGUAGUCCACGCCCUAAACGAUGUCAACUGGUUGUUGGGUCUCUUCUGACUCAGUAACGAAGCUAACGCGUGAAGUGACCG